UACAGAGGUCCCAAGCGUUGUUCGGAUUCACUGGGCGUAAAGGGUGCGUAGGCGGUCGGGUAAGUCUGAUGUGAAAUCUCACAGCUUAACUGUGAAACUGCAUUGGAUACUAUCCGACUUGAGGAAUGGAGGGGAGACUGGAAUUCUCGGUGUAGCAGUGAAAUGCGUAGAUAUCGAGAGGAACACCAGUGGCGAAGGCGAGUCUCUGGACAUUUCCUGACGCUGAGGCACGAAAGCCAGGGGAGCAAACGGG
Molecule: ribosomal RNA, 253 nt
Filed under: uncultured bacterium
Lineage: Bacteria
Description: partial 16S ribosomal RNA
Rfam family: Bacterial small subunit ribosomal RNA
Source: RNAcentral